AGUGAACGCUGGCGGUAGGCCUAACACAUGCAAGUCGAACGGCAGCACAGUAAGAGCUUGCCCUUACGGGUGGCGAGUGGCGGACGGGUGAGGAAUACAUCGGAAUCUACUUUUUCGUGGGGGAUAACGUAGGGAAACUUACGCUAAUACCGCAUACGACCUACGGGUGAAAGCAGGGGAUCUUCGGACCUUGCGCGAUUGAAUGAGCCGAUGUCGGAUUAGCUAGUUGGCGGGGUAAAGGCCCACCAAGGCGACGAUCCGUAGCUGGUCUGAGAGGAUGAUCAGCCACACUGGAACUGAGACACGGUCCAGACUCCUACGGGAGGCAGCAGUGGGGAAUAUUGGACAAUGGGCGCAAGCCUGAUCCAGCCAUACCGCGUGGGUGAAGAAGGCCUUCGGGUUGUAAAGCCCUUUUGUUGGGAAAGAAAAGCAGCAGGUUAAUACCCCGCUGUUCUGACGGUACCCAAAGAAUAAGCACCGGCGAACUUCGU
RNAcentral lists this ribosomal RNA (491 nucleotides) under uncultured bacterium. Its description in RNAcentral is "partial 16S ribosomal RNA". It matches the Rfam family "Bacterial small subunit ribosomal RNA", at positions 29 to 506 of the family's 1533-position model. The record is from RNAcentral.